ACCGCAUGGUUCAAAAGUGAAAGACGGUUUUGCUGUCACUUAUAGAUGGAUCCGCGCCGUAUUAGCUAGUUGGUAAGGUAACGGCUUACCAAGGCAACGAUGCAUAGCCGACCUGAGAGGGUGAUCGGCCACACUGGAACUGAGACACGGUCCAGACUCCUACGGGAGGCAGCAGUAGGGAAUCUUCCGCAAUGGGCGAAAGCCUGACGGAGCAACGCCGCGUGAGUGAUGAAGGUCUUCGGCUCGUAAAACUCUGUUAUUAGGGAAGAACAAAUGUGUAAGUAACUGUGCACAUCUUGACGGUACCUAAUCAGAAAGCCACGGCUAACUACGUGCCAGCAGCCGCGGUAAUACGUAGGUGGCAAGCGUUAUCCGGAAUUAUUGGGCGUAAAGCGCGCGUAGGCGGUUUCUUAAGUCUGAUGUGAAAGCCCACGGCUCAACCGUGGAGGGUCAUUGGAAACUGGGAAACUUGAGUGCAGAAGAGGAAAGUGGAAUUCCAUGUGUAGCGGUGAAAUGCGCAGAGAUAUGGAGGAACACCAGUGGCGAAGGCGACUUUCUGGUCUGUAACUGACGCUGAUGUGCGAAAGCGUGGGGAUCAAACAGGAUUAGAUACCCUGGUAGUCCACGCCGUAAACGAUGAGUGCUAAGUGUUAGGGGGUUUCCGCCCCUUAGUGCUGCAGCUAACGCAUUAAGCACUCCGCCUGGGGAGUACGACCGCAAGGUU
Molecule: ribosomal RNA, 724 nt
Filed under: Staphylococcus aureus
Lineage: Bacteria; Bacillati; Bacillota; Bacilli; Caryophanales; Staphylococcaceae
Description: bacterial SSU rRNA
Rfam family: Bacterial small subunit ribosomal RNA
Source: RNAcentral